This 239-nucleotide ribosomal RNA is filed under the name uncultured bacterium. RNAcentral's name for it is "partial 16S ribosomal RNA". It matches the Rfam family "Bacterial small subunit ribosomal RNA", at positions 116 to 353 of the family's 1533-position model. The record is from RNAcentral.
CGUAUCCAACCUGCCCUUUACUCGGGGAUAGCCUUUCGAAAGAAAGAUUAAUACCCGAUGGCAUAAUGAUUCCGCAUGGUUUCAUUAUUAAAGGAUUCCGGUAAAGGAUGGGGAUGCGUUCCAUUAGGUUGUUGGUGAGGUAACGGCCCACCAAGCCUUCGAUGGAUAGGGGUUCUGAGAGGAAGGUCCCCCACCAUUGGAACUGAGACACGGUCCAAACUCCUACGGGAGGCAGCAUG